RNAcentral lists this unclassified non-coding RNA (1405 nucleotides) under Hevea brasiliensis (rubber tree). The record is from RNAcentral. Lineage: Eukaryota; Viridiplantae; Streptophyta; Magnoliopsida; Malpighiales; Euphorbiaceae.
UAGCUCUUUCAUCAUUUCAACCUCUGCAACUCUCAAAAAUUCCGUUCAAUAGAACUAAAAAACAAAACAACUUUUGAUCUGCAGGAGGUAGUUUUCAAUUUAUGGUUCAUUCUGAUUGCUAGAACCUCUUGCAACCUUAAGCUUUUAGCUCUUUCGUUGCAACAAAAAUGCAGUGAUCAGGUGCGAAGCUUUAUACAUUUUAUAUGCCAUCCAGAGUCAAGUUUAGUUAUCCGCUUACUUAGGAACUAAAGCACAAGAAAACUUGAGGAUCCACACUUUGGAGCAAAUUUUCUCCUCAUAUUUCCAAACAACCAAACAGAACAAACAACAAGAAAAAAUUCGGGGCGCAAAUGUUGGAUGCUAAGCCUAAAAUUAGUGAAAUACGUACAAAAAUUCCAUCUACAUUUAUAAUCCUUUAACAAACCAAAAGGCUGUUACUCUGAUCGAAACAUAAUCUCAAUUUAGCCGAGAGAGAUAAUUUAAGGAAAAAAAAAAAAGAAAAAAACUAACCAGAUAAAUCAUUCUCCGGUUUCUCUGCCUUAUCCGUUGGGAACGUGACGUGCCUGCCACCAACUACCGGCGGCAGCAUUAUAGGAAGCGGAGGCAGAGAAAUGUAACCGUCACGGAAUUGAGGUCCUGCGAGAGGCGAAGAAGGGAAAGAAGUGGAGGUGCCUUGGUGAUCGUAACGCCUGCAAGAGAAGCUACUGGAACUCUCCGAUUCACUCACAUCCGCGCUCAAGCUGUAGCUGUCGAACUCGAACCGCUCGCUCAGUUGAUCUAACUCGUCCUCUGAAGAAACACUCCCCAUUGAUCAAAAAUCAAAGCACAGCAACAAUGAAUGUUAUGAAAACUAGGGAUCACGACCGAAAAAUCCUCUCUGUUGAGCAGAGAGAACAGGACAGAAAUUAGAGAAAAGAGUGACUGAGAGAGUGAAAAAGGGAAAGGCACCAUUAUAGCUUUUUGUGAAGUCUUCUCUUCUCAUUGAAGUGGGCGUUGGCUUUGUUGACAGCAGUCCCCACUUCCCACCAAAAGAACACAAGAUUGGUGCCUUUUAAAUUUCCGGAGGUCGAUGAGCUCAAGUGAAAUUGUGGCACGUGGGUAGCACGUCCAAUUAGGGUGAUGAAUUUCAUGCGGAGAUUUGGACACGCGCGCAGAAUCUAGUGCAGGUUCUUGCAUCGCAGGUGGGUUUUUUGUUGUUCUUAACAUGAAUUUGUACCAACCGAAAUGAUUAGUUUCGUCAAUCAGUCACGUGAGGAGAAGAAGCAAUUUCGUUUCUUCCGUGUGAUGAUUGCCUCGAUUGUCCUUCUUUAGGCUGGAUUCUCGAGCUCUCCUAUGCUACGGAUAAUAAAAUUCACCAUAUUUCAGGCCCAAGCUCUCUCUUUUUUUUUUUUAGAUGCAACUAACA